RNAcentral lists this ribosomal RNA (460 nucleotides) under uncultured bacterium. RNAcentral's name for it is "partial 16S ribosomal RNA". It matches the Rfam family "Bacterial small subunit ribosomal RNA", at positions 338 to 795 of the family's 1533-position model. The record is from RNAcentral.
CCUACGGGUGGCAGCAGUGAGGAAUAUUGGUCAAUGGACGAGAGUCUGAACCAGCCAAGUAGCGUGAAGGAUGACUGCCCUAUGGGUUGUAAACUUCUUUUAUCUGGGAAUAAAAUGUUCCACGUGUGGGAUUUUGUAUGUACCAUAUGAAUAAGGAUCGGCUAACUCCGUGCCAGCAGCCGCGGUAAUACGGAGGAUCCGAGCGUUAUCCGGAUUUAUUGGGUUUAAAGGGAGCGUAGGUGGAUUGUUAAGUCAGUUGUGAAAGUUUGCGGCUCAACCGUAAAAUAGCAGUUGAAACUGGCAGUCUUGAGUACAGUAGAGGUGGGCGGAAUUCGUGGUGUAGCGGUGAAAUGCUUAGAUAUCACGAAGAACUCCGAUUGCGAAGGCAGUUCACUGGACUGCAACUGACACUGAGGCUCGAAAGUGUGGGUAUCAAACAGGAUUAGAUACCCCUGUAGUC